CUGUGCGUCAAGUCGGGGGUGAAAUUCCGGUGCUCAACACCGGGGCUGCCCUUGAUACUGUCGCGCUGGAGUGCGGAUGCCGCCGGAGGAAUGAGUGGUGUAGCGGUGAAAUGCUUAGAUAUCACUCAGAACACCGAUUGCGAAGGCAUCUGGCGAAUCCGUAACUGACGCUGAGGCACGAAAGCGUGGGGAUAGAACAGGAUUAGAUACCCCGGUAGUCCUGUCUCUUAUACAC
RNAcentral lists this ribosomal RNA (235 nucleotides) under Mycobacterium tuberculosis. RNAcentral's name for it is "partial 16S ribosomal RNA". It matches the Rfam family "Bacterial small subunit ribosomal RNA", at positions 576 to 810 of the family's 1533-position model. The record is from RNAcentral. Lineage: Bacteria; Bacillati; Actinomycetota; Actinomycetes; Mycobacteriales; Mycobacteriaceae.